GACGAACGCUGGCGGCGUGCUUAACACAUGCAAGUCGAACGGAAAGGCCCCUUUGGGGGUACUCGAGUGGCGAACGGGUGAGUAACACGGGAGUAACCUGCCCUUGACUUCGGGAUAACUUCAGGAAACUGGGGCUAAUACCGGAUAGGAAUCCUUGCCGCACGGUGGGGGUUGGAAAGCUUCGGCGGUUUUGGAUGGACUCGCGGCUUAUCAGCUUGUUGGUGGGGUAGUGGCUUACCAAGGCGUUGACGGGUAGCCGGCCUGAGAGGGCGACCGGCCACAUUGGGACUGAGAUACGGCCCAGACUCCUACGGGAGGCAGCAGUGGGGAAUAUUGCACAAUGGGCGGAAGCCUGAUGCAGCAACGCCGCGUGCGGGAUGACGGCCUUCGGGUUGUAAACCGCUUUCAGCAGGGGCGAAGCUUGUGGUGACGGUACCUGCAGAAGAAGCACCGGCUAACUACGUG
This 465-nucleotide ribosomal RNA is filed under the name uncultured bacterium. RNAcentral describes it as "partial 16S ribosomal RNA". It matches the Rfam family "Bacterial small subunit ribosomal RNA", at positions 28 to 507 of the family's 1533-position model. The record is from RNAcentral.